ACCCUUCCGAAUCCGCGCGAUAACCCCUAUAUUGAGGGUGCCGGUUCGCCGGCUAUGGCGAUAAACGGCCUGUGGAAUAAGCGAUGCGGACCCGGGGGCAGUACCCGGCGCCUCCACCAAUCCCAUUGCCGCCGCGCGGUUGCGGCGGCCCGUUACGGGGGCGAAACAGGAUCGACGCGCGUGUAAAGACAGGUCUUUUGCUCGGCAUGGUACCGCCGUUAUCGGGCCGUUUUACAGAUGCCAACGACAACCGUAUGGCUCUCGCUGCCUAGACAUAGGUAAGCGCGGUUCGGGGGGCGCCGGGCAACAGAAGCCCCCCACU
RNAcentral lists this transfer-messenger RNA (322 nucleotides) under Alphaproteobacteria bacterium. It matches the Rfam family "Alphaproteobacteria transfer-messenger RNA". From Rfam's summary of the family: Bacterial tmRNA, also known as 10Sa RNA or SsrA, is named for its dual tRNA and mRNA-like properties. Its role is to liberate the mRNA from a stalled ribosome. To accomplish this part of the tmRNA is used as a reading frame that ends in a translation stop signal. The record is from RNAcentral. Lineage: Bacteria; Pseudomonadati; Pseudomonadota; Alphaproteobacteria.